GAGGAACCUGUCCUGUAAUCGAUACUCCACGAAAAUUUGACCUUAACUGAGUAAAUCAGUUUGUAUAUCGCUGUCGAAAGAUUAUCUCUUGAGAAAUUUUUCUUAAUUAAUUAUUUAUGGAUGACAAGUCAGGGUGCAAUUUAUGUUAAGGGGUGAGAUGGGCUACAAUAGUUGAAGUUAUAUGGAUUUGGUCUUGUAAAUUUUUAUGAAGGUGGAUUUAACUGUAAUAAAGGCUUAAGUUGUCUUUGUGAAAAGUACUAAUAUAUGC
RNAcentral lists this ribosomal RNA (268 nucleotides) under Ballonema sp. MCZ DNA106902. Its description in RNAcentral is "partial small subunit ribosomal RNA". Lineage: Eukaryota; Metazoa; Arthropoda; Chilopoda; Scutigeromorpha; Scutigeridae. The record is from RNAcentral.